GAUGAAGAACGUAGUGAAAUGCGAUACGUAAUGUGAAUUGCAGAAUUCAGUGAAUCAUCGAAUCUUUGAACGCAUAUUGCGCUCUCUGGUAUUCCGGAGAGCAUGCUUGUUUGAGUAUCAGUAAACACCUCAACUCCCCUUUCUUUUUUUGAAAUGGGAGCUGGACUUGAGUGAUCCCAACGCUUUUCUCACCGAAAAGUGGCGGGUUACUUGAAAUGAAGGUGCAGCUGGACUUUUCUCUGAGCUAAAAGCAUAUCUAUUUAGUCUGCCUAAAAAACAGAUUAUUACCUUUGCUGCAGCUAACAUAAAGGAGAUUAGUUCUUGUGCUGACUGAUGCAGGAUUCACAGAGACAGCUUCGGCUGGCCUUUGUAAACUCGAUCUCAAAUCAAGUAAGACUACCCGCUGAACUUAAGCAUAUCAAUAAGCGGAGGA
Molecule: unclassified non-coding RNA, 433 nt
Filed under: soil metagenome
Description: partial contains 5.8S ribosomal RNA, internal transcribed spacer 2, and large subunit ribosomal RNA
Rfam family: 5.8S ribosomal RNA (bases 1-120)
Source: RNAcentral